AUUGAACGCUGGCGGAAUGCUUUACACAUGCAAGUCGGGCGGCAGCGCGGGGGCAACCCUGGCGGCGAGCGGCGAACGGGUGAGUAACACAUCGGAACGUACCCUGUCGUGGGGGAUAACGAAUCGAAAGAUUCGCUAAUACCGCAUACGACCUGAGGGUGAAAGCGGGGGAUCGCAAGACCUCGCGCGGGAGGAGCGGCCGAUGGCGGAUUAGCUAGUUGGUGGGGUAAAGGCCCACCAAGGCGACGAUCCGUAGCGGGUCUGAGAGGACGGCCCGCCACACUGGGACUGAGACACGGCCCAGACUCCUACGGGAGGCAGCAGUGGGGAAUUUUGGACAAUGGGGGCAACCCUGAUCCAGCCAUUCCGCGUGAGUGAAGAAGGCCU
Molecule: ribosomal RNA, 387 nt
Filed under: uncultured bacterium
Lineage: Bacteria
Description: bacterial SSU rRNA
Rfam family: Bacterial small subunit ribosomal RNA
Source: RNAcentral